ACACUUUAAUCAACAUCAACAAAUUCCAUGCCUUAUUUUUCAAUCUUCAGUGUACACAGACCUUUAGGUGUUCACAUAAAAAUGCAUUAUUAUUAUUAUUAUUAUUAUUAUUAUUAUUAUUAUACACAUUCAGAAAAAAAGAAAGUGUGGACCAUGUGUAUAUAACAAAAGCUUAUUGCCUUUUCCAUAUUAUUAUCUUUCUAUCUCUUUCACAAACAUUCUCUAGCAAAAGAAAUGAAUCGCUUUCGCCUCUCCUCCCUUCUUCUUGCUCUUCUCAUUUUCUUCAAUCCUACGAUUCUUGGAUUUGCAAGAACACCCUUUGCUGCUUCACCUUAUGCAUCCACGAUGAACCGACAAUCUUUUCACUACUCCUCAGUUAAUAAUGGGCCCUUUGCGACCCGACCCAUUAAAGAAUUCGAAUCGCAGAAACGAAGAGUUCCUACAGGAUCGAACCCUCUGCACAACAGGAGAAGGUUAUGAAGAUUUCUUGUUUGUUUUCGGAAGAGAUCAUACGGAGACCUUCUUGUUCAGAUAACAUAUUCUCUUUUCAUUUGUUUCUCUUUUGUGUAUUGCUAUAUAUAUAUAUACAGGAGUUUUAUAGUAACUAUUGGUUAAUUAUAUGCAAAAGUUAGCAUUUAGCAUAGAUUAGAAGAUAGUUCUUAUUUUUGUAACACAUGUAUUAAUAUACUUCUAGAAUACCUAGUUCUAUUUUUCUUUUUCUUUUUCCUUUUUUAGAAAUCGUACAGAAGGAAAGAUUGAUGUGAUCAAAACUUUUCUUUUUCAUGAUAUUGAUUAUAUAUAUGACUAUUUUGUUUAAUUC
This 820-nucleotide long non-coding RNA is filed under the name Ricinus communis (castor bean). RNAcentral describes it as "long non-coding RNA (RCOM_LNC001883)". Lineage: Eukaryota; Viridiplantae; Streptophyta; Magnoliopsida; Malpighiales; Euphorbiaceae. The record is from RNAcentral.